This is a non-coding RNA of Penaeus vannamei (Pacific white shrimp), 380 nucleotides long. NCBI's taxonomy places the organism in Eukaryota, Metazoa, Arthropoda, Malacostraca, Decapoda, Penaeidae. The record is from RefSeq and is a predicted model, not a curated record.
GGCGGCCCUCUUUGUCUGGUUUUCCAUCCGGGACUUCAUGGAGACCGACAGCGCCGAGGAGGAAAUGGAGAUCCACGCCCAGCUGAUGCGCGCGGGCGUGUACGUGGUGCCCGGGAGCAAGCUGUACGGCUCCGACCCGGGUUGGAUCCGCCUCAUCUUCAGCGUGAGGGAAGAGGAGCUCGACGAAGGUCUUAGGAGAAUUGAGUCUGUCCUCAAGAGCAGGAGAAAGGAGACAGCAUGAUUGGAAGAACACACACCUGAAGUCUUACUUUGGCGUCUGGCUGUUACUAUACUUUCACUGUUACGUAGCUAUCUGGUAGCGAAAAUCAUCCUGAAUGUUUGUAGGUUUUCCUCUUAGGAAACAUUAAAUGGUGCAAUUC